UAGGGAAUCUUCCGCAAUGGACGAAAGUCUGACGGAGCAACGCCGCGUGAGUGAUGAAGGCUUUCGGGUCGUAAAACUCUGUUGUUAGGGAAGAACAAGUACGAGAGUAACUGCUCGUACCUUGACGGUACCUAACCAGAAAGCCACGGCUAACUACGUGCCAGCAGCCGCGGUAAUACGUAGGUGGCAAGCGUUAUCCGGAAUUAUUGGGCGUAAAGCGCGCGCAGGCGGUUUCUUAAGUCUGAUGGGAAAGCCCACGGCUCAACCGUGGAGGGUCAUUGGAAACUGGGGAACUUGAGUGCAGAAGAGAAAAGCGGAAUUCCACGUGUAGCGGUGAAAUGCGUAGAGAUGUGGAGGAACACCAGUGGCGAAGGCGGCUUUUUGGUCUGUAACUGACGCUGAGGCGCGAAAGCGUGGGGAGCAAACA
RNAcentral lists this ribosomal RNA (427 nucleotides) under uncultured Bacillus sp. RNAcentral's name for it is "bacterial SSU rRNA". It matches the Rfam family "Bacterial small subunit ribosomal RNA", at positions 355 to 774 of the family's 1533-position model. Lineage: Bacteria; Bacillati; Bacillota; Bacilli; Caryophanales; Bacillaceae. The record is from RNAcentral.